This is an RNA transcript of Panicum virgatum (switchgrass), 2998 nucleotides long. It is a transcript of the gene named probable bifunctional methylthioribulose-1-phosphate dehydratase/enolase-phosphatase E1, with no coding region annotated. Lineage: Eukaryota; Viridiplantae; Streptophyta; Magnoliopsida; Poales; Poaceae. The transcript has 13 exons. The record is from RefSeq and is a predicted model, not a curated record.
UCCGUGCUUCGCACCAGCGCGAUUAACAAGUCAGAAAUCCAGUGACACUCCUCGCCCAUUCCUCAAGAAGAAGAAAGAGCAGGACUAGCACCCAAUCCAAGCAGACCUCGAACUCGAAUCUCUACUCUUCAGCAGCAGGCCACAAACGCACGCUCAUCAACCAGCUGGUAGCCGGCGCAGCGGGCCGGAGGAGGAGCAGUUGAGGGCCAUGGCGUCCUGCUGCGAGACGGAGGCGGCUGCGGUGACGACGGAGGCGUACCUGGCGGGGGCGGCAGUGCGGGAGGCGCGGGAGCUGGUGGCGGAGCUGUGCCGGCACUUCUACGCGCCGGGCUGGGUCACCGGCACCGGCGGCAGCAUCACCGUCAAGGUCAACGACCCCGCCGUGCCGCUCGCCGACCGCCUCAUCGUCAUGUCGCCCUCCGGCGUACAGAAGGAGAGGAUGGUGGCAGCGGACAUGUAUGUUUUUUCUGCGGAUGGGAAGGUGCUCUCUGAACCAGCAGCAAAGCCAUGGCCAAACAAGCCUCCUAAGUGUACAGACUGUGCUCCUCUGUUCAUGAAGGCGUAUCAGAUGAGAGGAGCUGGGGCCGUCAUUCACAGCCAUGGAAUUGAGACUUGCAUCGCGUCAAUGCUCGAUCCUGGUGCAAAGGAAUUCAGGAUGACUCAUAUGGAAAUGCUUAAAGCAAUCAAAGGCCAUGGCUAUCGUGAUGAAUUGGUUAUUCCUAUUAUCGAGAAUACUCCUUAUGAGUAUGAGCUCACUGACUCCCUAAGUGAGGCGAUUGCAGCAUACCCAAAGGCAACUGCUGUCCUUGUACGGAACCAUGGAAUAUUUGUCUGGGGUGACUCCUGGAUCAGUGCAAAGACACAAGCUGAAAGCUACCAUUAUCUUUUAGAUGCAGCCAUCAAGCUCUAUCAAUUAGGUAUUGAUUGGACAACUCCCGAACAUGGUCCAGUAAACCGUGCGAAGAGAUCACGCAGCAUUUUGAACCCUGGAAUUCCUAACGAAUGUCAUGCUGCUGAACCAUUAAAGGUUAAUAACUCACUGCUCCCAAUAAUUUUUGGAGCAACGUGUGUUGUACUUGACAUUGAGGGCACAACAACUCCAAUAUCGUUUGUGACUGAUGUUAUGUUUCCUUAUGCCCGUGAUAAUGUGCGAAAGCAUCUGACUUCCACAUUUUAUUCUGAAGAAACCAAAGAGGACAUCAAAUUACUGCGAGUUCAAAUUGAAGAUGAUUUAAGAAAUGGAAUUCCUGGGGCUGUUCCAGUUCCCCCCGAUGAGGCUGGCAAAGAAGAGGUUAUCAACUCAUUGGUGGCCAAUGUUGAAUCAAUGAUUGAAGCAGACUGGAAGGUUACAUCAUUGAAACAACUCCAGGGUCAUAUAUGGAGGACUGGAUUUGAAAGGGAGGAAAUUCAUGGAGUUAUCUUUGAGGAUGUUCCUGAGGCACUAAAGAACUGGAAUUCUCGUAACAUAAAGGUUUACAUAUACUCAAGUGGCAGUAGAGAAGCACAAAGGCUCCUGUUCGGCAAUACAGAGCAUGGUGACCUGAGGCCGUUCCUGUGUGGGUAUUUUGAUACCACAAUUGGAAACAAAAAAGAAACCAGGAGCUAUUUUGAGAUAGCUCAAACACUUAGGGUUGACAGUCCAUCUCAAAUCUUAUUCAUAACUGAUGUCUUCCAAGAAGCCAUUGCCGCAAAAAACGCUGGUUUCGAGGUGGUAAUCUCCAUUCGUCCAGGAAAUGCUCCGGUUCCUGAGAAUCAUGGUUUCCGCACAAUCAAAUCAUUGAGUGAGGUCUGCGAACGAUGAACUGGCGUGGGUUAGCGGGGAAUUAAUAAACGAGAGGAUCAAUCAAGAUGCUGCAAGUUCUUUAUCCAAGAGGGAGGGCUGCCCAACUCUUUUGACUUUUUUAUAUCAACAACAACCACAAUCAAAAGGAAAUGUUCUUUGAAGUACUACUACUACCCCGGUACAUUCGAAGCACUAUAAUAACAAAGUUCUUUGUUAAUUACCCUUCUCUCUCAUCAGAUAUACAGUUAGGAAAAUCAGGAAAAAAAAAGUACCUCCAUGUCCCACCAGUACAUUACAACCUCUCUAACAAGGCUCUUUAUUUUAAGACACAGGUAAAACUAGAAAUAUUUUAUUCUUACUAAUUUGAAAGUGCGCCACUUGUUUGUAUGUUUCCUGAUCCUGAUCCUGACUAUACAUAAUAACUCAUGAAUGAAAAAGAGACGUAAGAAGCCUCAGUUUGCUGGCAUAUCGAUCCUGCCGAAGAAAUUAGCGAGGGCGAUGAGCGCGUUGGCAGAGAGCGCAAGGAACCCGAGGAACGACAGCCACACCACGACGCUGAUCUUGCGGCAGAAUUGGUCCUCGCCGAACCUCGCCGCCCAGAGGUGGUUGCGAGACGCGGCCGCCGACGCCGCCGACAUAAGCAGAUACGCCAGCACCUGCAGGGGAAGCUUAUAUAUCAUGGUUCAGUUUCAGCUCUAAGCUAGAAUGCUUAAAAUAGCUGGUUGCAGCUUUUGCUAUCUCCUACUAUAGCUGAUUGAGAAGGAUUUCAUUUUUGUCCUCGUACGAAUUUAGCAGCUGCUAUAAAUUUGCCAAACCGGCUAUUAGCUAUUUUAGAAUACCAAACGCUAGAUGCCUUAGCCUAUAAUUUAAAAUAGAAACAAAAUUGAUUUUACUCCCCUCAUGGAUAAUCCACUUUAUCUGCUUAACCCCUGAAUCUAAUUCGAUCAGUCAGUGCCACAUAAAGAAAAUGCGUCGAGCUUGCCUGGUCGAGAAAAAGGUGGAUGCAGUAGAUCGACGUGCUCGGCGGUGCAGCCGACCGAUGGAGGCGGCGGAGCUCGACGAUGACUUGCGAGAUCGAACAGAUACAAACGACUACGUUCACCCCGACGGCGUACCUGCCAUAGCACAUUCGUGUGUGAGGGCCGCGAAGUGAAGGAAAUUGAUUCAUUUUAUAUACUUCCUCUGUUUUUAUAUAGAGAAAAGUCCAUUUUUCAA